UGAAAUGUUUAAAAAAUGUUGCUUGUCCCGCUCUGCUUUUCCCUGUUUUCCUGCGCGCGUGUGAAGUGUGCCGCAGUCCAUGUUUCCUGCUUUCUCACUUCCUUUCUCCAUACUCUCUCUGUUCAUUUAUUUUAAUUUUAUUAUUUUUCAAUCUAAUAAUGGUGAAUACUCAAUAAAAAAUACCGGCCCUUCCUUCCCUUAAUUGUAUUAGUUUGUUGGUUGUCAAAUCAGUGUAAAAUCAGAACUUAAUUUAUAUGAUGAACACAACCCUUCUCCCUUGAUUGUACCUUGACGUGGUUGCCAAAUGGGUGUAAAAUCUAGAACUUAAUUUAUACGAUUGAACACAACCUUCCUCUAGCCUAUUUGGAAGAAAAAAUCAAAACAGGACAUAUUGAUCAGAAAAGAAAUCACAAGAUAAAAAUUGGAGAUUUUCAUUUCUUGCUUUUUCUGUUUCUAACAAAAAAUACAAUAGAAGGAGAAUAUUACCACAAAGAAUAACAAAUAGAAAAAAGAUCUAUAUCAUAUUCUUUCCCAUCAACCCAUAACCUUAACCAUUGUAACAACAAUCAAUAUCGGACGAGAGAACCUAGUACAUCCGCACACCACCGCGCACUGGAAAAUAGUAUUUUCUCAUUGGGUGAAAUUUUGUUUCGUUACAUGUGAAUGAGCUUUGGUUGAAGCCAUCUUGAUGCUGGAUCUUAGUGUUUUGUUGUGAGUAAUUUCUGAUAUGUGAAAUAUGCUUCUUGCUGAUUGUGCCUUUUUAAAAUUUGUUUAUUUUGCUAGUCUGAUGCACUAUCCGUUCUCUAUAGCUUAAUAUGUAUUCUCUGUCUUCA
RNAcentral lists this long non-coding RNA (833 nucleotides) under Cicer arietinum (chickpea). RNAcentral's name for it is "long non-coding RNA (CARI_LNC000699)". The record is from RNAcentral. Lineage: Eukaryota; Viridiplantae; Streptophyta; Magnoliopsida; Fabales; Fabaceae.